This 466-nucleotide ribosomal RNA is filed under the name uncultured bacterium. RNAcentral's name for it is "partial 16S ribosomal RNA". It matches the Rfam family "Bacterial small subunit ribosomal RNA", at positions 28 to 507 of the family's 1533-position model. The record is from RNAcentral.
GACGAACGCUGGCGGCGUGCUUAACACAUGCAAGUCGUGCGGUAAGGCCCUUUCGGGGGUACACGAGCGGCGAACGGGUGAGUAACACGUGAGCAACCUGCCCUUCACUUUGGGAUAACUGCCGGAAACGGUGGCUAAUACCGGAUAUGACUCCCUCACGCAUGUGGGGUGGUGGAAAGCCUUCGGGUGGUGGGGGAUGGGCUCGCGGUCUAUCAGCUUGUUGGUGGGGUGAUGGCCUACCAAGGCUUCGACGGGUAGCCGGCCUGAGAGGGUGACCGGCCACACUGGGACUGAGACACGGCCCAGACUCCUACGGGAGGCAGCAGUGGGGAAUAUUGGACAAUGGGCGAAAGCCUGAUCCAGCAACGCCGCGUGAGGGAUGACGGCCUUCGGGUUGUAAACCUCUUUCGCCUGCGACGAAGCGAGAGUGACGGUAGCAGGUAAAGAAGCACCGGCCAACUACGUG